Molecule: transfer RNA, 85 nt
Filed under: Opitutaceae bacterium
Lineage: Bacteria; Pseudomonadati; Verrucomicrobiota; Opitutia; Opitutales; Opitutaceae
Also listed under: 4 other names
Description: tRNA-Leu
Rfam family: tRNA
About the family: Transfer RNA (tRNA) molecules are approximately 80 nucleotides in length. Their secondary structure includes four short double-helical elements and three loops (D, anti-codon, and T loops).
Source: RNAcentral
GCUCAGGUGGUGGAAUUGGUAGACACGUACGCUUGAGGGGCGUAUGCCGAAAGGUGUAGGGGUUCGAGUCCCCUCCUGAGCACCA